GAGGGUAUGAGGCUUUCCUCUGGCUGGCAGCCAGAAGGUCAGGGGUUCAAGUCCCCUAUCCUCCA
RNAcentral lists this transfer RNA (65 nucleotides) under Pirellulales bacterium. Its description in RNAcentral is "tRNA-Ala". Lineage: Bacteria; Pseudomonadati; Planctomycetota; Planctomycetia; Pirellulales. The record is from RNAcentral.